GAUGAACGCUAGCGGGAGGCCUAAUACAUGCAAGUCGAGCGGUAGAAUGACUUCGGUUGUUUGAGAGCGGCGAACGGGUGAGUAACGCGUACACAAUCUACCUUUAAGGAGGGGAAUAGCCCUGGGAAACUGGGAUUAAUGCCCAUGGCAUCGACGGGAUGGCAUCGUUUUGUGAUUAAAGCUGAGGUGCUUAAAGAUGAGUGUGCGUCUGAUUAGCUAGUUGGUACGGUAACGGCGUACCAAGGCGACGAUCAGUAGUUGGUCUGAGAGGACGACCAGCCACACUGGGACUGAGACACGGCCCAGACUCCUACGGGAGGCAGCAGUGGGGAAUUUUGGACAAUGGCGCAAGCCUGAUCCAGCAAUGCCGCGUGAGUGAAGAAGGCCUCGGUGUAAG
RNAcentral lists this ribosomal RNA (397 nucleotides) under uncultured bacterium. RNAcentral describes it as "bacterial SSU rRNA". It matches the Rfam family "Bacterial small subunit ribosomal RNA", at positions 28 to 429 of the family's 1533-position model. The record is from RNAcentral.